GAGUAUAAAAUUUCUAUGACGCACAUAUUCCGUCACUGUGUUAAAACAUUAAAUAUCAAUUAUAACAUUCUUUUAUUGUUAAGUAUCUAAUCAAAACAUUUAGUUGGAGAUCGUAGAUACGGAAUUGAUCGUUAUCUUGAUGAAACGACUACGAUACGAACAGCUUUUUACGGACCGUUUCGAAGAGAUUAAUCAAUACGAAUUUCGUUUCCGCAUGUUGAACCGCGAAGUGGACGACACGAAGUGACUGAAAAAGGAAAGCAAUUCGUAAAUUGAACUCGCGCGCAGAAUGGCUCUCGAUGGCGCCUCGUCGUCGAAGAUGUUCAAGGGGCCUCGAAUCGUUCGAGGAUGAUAUGUUGUUCAGAUAUCGUUACAUUGACGAAAGUGCAAGAAAAAGAAGCUUUUUAUAGGAAAAGUGAAUUCGAAUGAAGUUUAGUGGAAGAAGAAUCAUAGAGAAAGAUAUAUUAUUGAGAUAAAAAAGAAAUAAGUUUCUUCGAUUUGAGGCGGUAACAUCCAUUCUCAACGACUUUCAAUAUUCUUGGUGGCACGACAAGGAAAUUUAGCGGAAAGUUUCUUAAUUACCUUGUUUCGCUUAUUCGAUGUUUGCAGUAUCGCUCGAGAAGGCAAUUAACAGGCGUAAUAAAAUAGAAUGGCACGAUCUUCCGCUACGGGCGUGCGAAAGAAAUAUGGAAGCGAAUUGACCGUGAUCCGCUUGGUGAAAACUCGAUGCACACGAGAGAAAUACACGAUAAUUGUUGCGUGAGAAUCGCCCGCUACCUUUCGUACAAUUACCGGCAACUUCGUUUCCGCUUCGUUGGAGGAUUCUCGUUUCUAUCACCAUUUAUCGAACCUACCCUUUCUACGAGUGAAUCCAAAGAAAUUGUUGAAAGUAAAUUUUAGUAAUUAUUUAAUGACAUUUUAAUUUUGAUAAUGUCGUUCACUUAU
This is a long non-coding RNA of Apis mellifera (honey bee), 945 nucleotides long. RefSeq lists it as uncharacterized. The record is from RefSeq and is a predicted model, not a curated record. NCBI's taxonomy places the organism in Eukaryota, Metazoa, Arthropoda, Insecta, Hymenoptera, Apidae. The transcript has 3 exons.